GUCCGAGGUCAUGCCUUCCUGAACACAUCUAAUUUAUCUGAUCUCUGAAGCUAAGCAGAGUGGGGUUUGGCUAGUGCUUGGGUGAGAGAGAAAGGGCAAGAGGAAAACAGAAUUAGACCUUAGGUC
This 126-nucleotide ribosomal RNA is filed under the name Sus scrofa (pig). Lineage: Eukaryota; Metazoa; Chordata; Mammalia; Artiodactyla; Suidae. The record is from RNAcentral.